GAUGAAGAACGUAGUGAAAUGCGAUAAGUAAUGUGAAUUGCAGAAUUCAGUGAAUCAUCGAGUUUUUGAACGCAUAUUGCGCCCUCUGGUAUUCCGGGGGGCAUGCCUGUUCGAGCGUCAUUAAAUAACCCUCAAGCAUAGCUUGGUGUUGGGCUUUUUUACGUCCUUGACUGGGAUGGGCCUAAAAAUUAGUGGCGAUGGCUUUUUUACUUUCAAGCGUAGUAAAUCUCGUCUUGCUAAAGAGGAAAAAGAUUUUUUUUCUGCCAAAAAUUUUAACAUUUAAAGUUGACCUCGGAUCAGGUAGGAUUACCCGCUGAACUUAAGCAUAUCAAUAAGCGGAGGA
Molecule: unclassified non-coding RNA, 343 nt
Filed under: soil metagenome
Description: partial contains 5.8S ribosomal RNA, internal transcribed spacer 2, and large subunit ribosomal RNA
Rfam family: 5.8S ribosomal RNA (bases 1-120)
Source: RNAcentral